RNAcentral lists this ribosomal RNA (243 nucleotides) under uncultured Staphylococcus sp. Its description in RNAcentral is "partial 16S ribosomal RNA". It matches the Rfam family "Bacterial small subunit ribosomal RNA", at positions 99 to 334 of the family's 1533-position model. The record is from RNAcentral. Lineage: Bacteria; Bacillati; Bacillota; Bacilli; Caryophanales; Staphylococcaceae.
CGGACGGGUGAGUAACACGUGGAUAACCUACCUAUAAGACUGGGAUAACUUCGGGAAACCGGAGCUAAUACCGGAUAAUAUAUUGAACCGCAUGGUUCAAUAGUGAAAGACGGUUUUGCUGUCACUUAUAGAUUGGAUCCGCGCCGCAUUAGCUAGUUGGUAAGGUAACGGCUUACCAAGGCAACGAUGCGUAGCCGACCUGAGAGGGUGAUCGGCCACACUGGAACUGGAGACACGGUCCAG